Molecule: ribosomal RNA, 506 nt
Filed under: uncultured bacterium
Lineage: Bacteria
Description: partial 16S ribosomal RNA
Rfam family: Bacterial small subunit ribosomal RNA
Source: RNAcentral
AUUGAACGCUGGCGGCAGGCCUAACACAUGCAAGUCGAACGGUAACAGGAAACAGCUUGCUGUUUCGCUGACGAGUGGCGGACGGGUGAGUAAUGUCUGGGAAACUGCCUGAUGGAGGGGGAUAACUACUGGAAACGGUAGCUAAUACCGCAUAACGUCGCAAGACCAAAGAGGGGGACCUUCGGGCCUCUUGCCAUCGGAUGUGACCAGAUGGGAUUAGCUAGUAGGUGGGGUAACGGCUCACCUAGGCGACGAUCCCUAGCUGGUCUGAGAGGAUGAGCAGCCACACUGGAACUGAGACAAGGUCCAGACUCCUACGGGAGGCAGCAGUGGGGAAUAUUGCACAAUGGGCGCAAGCCUGAUGCAGCCAUGUCGCGUGUAUGAAGAAGGCCUUCGGGUUGUAAAGUACUUUCAGCGGGGAGGAAGGGAGUAAAGUUAAUACCUUUGCUCAUUGACGUUACCCGCAGAAGAAGCACCGGCUAACUCCGUGCCAGCCGCCGCCGUAA